UACGUAGGGGGCGAGCGUUAUCCGGAUUUACUGGGUGUAAAGGGAGCGUAGACGGCGAAGCAAGUCUGAAGUGAAAGCCCGUGGCUCAACCGCGGAACGGCUUUGGAAACUGUUUUGCUAGAGUGCUGGAGAGGCAAGCGGAAUUCCUAGUGUAGCGGUGAAAUGCGUAGAUAUUAGGAGGAACACCAGUGGCGAAGGCGGCUUGCUGGACAGUAACUGACGUUGAGGCUCGAAAGCGUGGGGAGCAAACAGG
Molecule: ribosomal RNA, 253 nt
Filed under: uncultured bacterium
Lineage: Bacteria
Description: partial 16S ribosomal RNA
Rfam family: Bacterial small subunit ribosomal RNA
Source: RNAcentral